This is a long non-coding RNA of Hemibagrus wyckioides, 520 nucleotides long. RefSeq lists it as uncharacterized. Lineage: Eukaryota; Metazoa; Chordata; Actinopteri; Siluriformes; Bagridae. The record is from RefSeq and is a predicted model, not a curated record. The transcript has 3 exons.
GGAAGCAGGAAGUACUGCAAACAACAUGGGGACUGGGGAUGACAAGAAGGCGCUGGUUUCCUUACCCAAACACUCCUACUGGUUCGACUUUUGGGUUUUUCUCUUGUUCGACUUCGCCUUUUUCCUCUUCGUGUACUUUGUGGUUCCAUAAACGAAAUCUGGGCGUGAUGGAAGGACCUGAGACUGCGGCUCAGCUGCAGAAGAGAUGACUGUUUUCUGAUGGCCUCGGCUUCAGCUGAUUUCCUCUUGCUGAUCUGUCACCAUCACGUCCCUGCCGAGUCCAGCACACCACCGCUUUAAAACAUAUCACUAUAACAUUCCUUUCCGGACCCUGAUGCCUUGUGUAGAACACUGAUUAACAUGGCUAAGUUAUUUUUGUACAUUUCACCCGUUAAUAAUUAGAAUAUCUGUGUGUGUGUGUGAGAGAAAGAGAGCAAGAUGGACUGAUUAUCAGAAUGAAUGAGAGUGAUGGAAUUGUACUGAAAAGUAAUUCAAAUAAAAACUAAGCUAUUUUAUUGAA